This 269-nucleotide ribosomal RNA is filed under the name uncultured prokaryote. RNAcentral describes it as "partial 16S ribosomal RNA". It matches the Rfam family "Bacterial small subunit ribosomal RNA", at positions 524 to 792 of the family's 1533-position model. The record is from RNAcentral.
UACGGAGGGUGCUAGCGUUAUCCGGAAUCACUGGGCGUAAAGGGCGCGUAGGCGGCCUGUUAAGUCCGAUGUUAAAGACUGGGGCUCAACCCCAGCAUUGCGUUGGAUACUGGCAGGCUUGACGGUUGGAGAGGCGAGUGGAAUUACCAGUGUAGCGGUGAAAUGCGUAGAUACUGGUAGGAACACCCAUUGCGAAGGCAGCUCGCUGGACAACACGUGACGCUGAGGCGCGAAAGUGUGGGGAGCAAACCGGAUUAGAUAUCCCGGUA